RNAcentral lists this ribosomal RNA (2092 nucleotides) under Plasmodium falciparum 326.1. RNAcentral describes it as "SSU rRNA". It matches the Rfam family "Eukaryotic small subunit ribosomal RNA". Lineage: Eukaryota; Apicomplexa; Aconoidasida; Haemosporida; Plasmodiidae. The record is from RNAcentral.
CCUGGUUGAUCUUGCCAGUAGUCAUAUGCUUGUCUCAAAGAUUAAGCCAUGCAAGUGAAAGUAUAUAUAUAUAUUUUAUAUGUAGAAACUGCGAACGGCUCAUUAAAACAGUUAUAGUCUACUUGACAUUUUUAUUAUAAGGAUAACUACGGAAAAGCUGUAGCUAAUACUUGCUUUAUUAUCCUUUGAUUUUUAUCUUUGGAUAAGUAUUUGUUAGGCCUUAUAAGAAAAAAGUUAUUAACUUAAGGAAUUAUAACAAAGAAGUAACACGUAAUAAAUUUAUUUUAUUUAGUGUGUAUCAAUCGAGUUUCUGACCUAUCAGCUUUUGAUGUUAGGGUAUUGGCCUAACAUGGCUAUGACGGGUAACGGGGAAUUAGAGUUCGAUUCCGGAGAGGGAGCCUGAGAAAUAGCUACCACAUCUAAGGAAGGCAGCAGGCGCGUAAAUUACCCAAUUCUAAAGAAGAGAGGUAGUGACAAGAAAUAACAAUGCAAGGCCAAUUUUUGGUUUUGUAAUUGGAAUGGUGGGAAUUUAAAACCUUCCCAGAGUAACAAUUGGAGGGCAAGUCUGGUGCCAGCAGCCGCGGUAAUUCCAGCUCCAAUAGCGUAUAUUAAAAUUGUUGCAGUUAAAACGCUCGUAGUUGAAUUUCAAAGAAUCGAUAUUUUAUUGUAACUAUUCUAGGGGAACUAUUUUAGCUUUUCGCUUUAAUACGCUUCCUCUAUUAUUAUGUUCUUUAAAUAACAAAGAUUCUUUUUAAAAUCCCCACUUUGCUUUUGCUUUUUGGGGAUUUUGUUACUUUGAGUAAAUUAGAGUGUUCAAAGCAAACAGUUAAAGCAUUUACUGUGUUUGAAUACUAUAGCAUGGAAUAACAAAAUUGAACAAGCUAAAAUUUUUUGUUCUUUUUUCUUAUUUUGGCUUAGUUACGAUUAAUAGGAGUAGCUUGGGGACAUUCGUAUUCAGAUGUCAGAGGUGAAAUUCUUAGAUUUUCUGGAGACGAACAACUGCGAAAGCAUUUGUCUAAAAUACUUCCAUUAAUCAAGAACGAAAGUUAAGGGAGUGAAGACGAUCAGAUACCGUCGUAAUCUUAACCAUAAACUAUGCCGACUAGGUGUUGGAUGAAAGUGUUAAAAAUAAAAGUCAUCUUUCGAGGUGACUUUUAGAUUGCUUCCUUCAGUACCUUAUGAGAAAUCAAAGUCUUUGGGUUCUGGGGCGAGUAUUCGCGCAAGCGAGAAAGUUAAAAGAAUUGACGGAAGGGCACCACCAGGCGUGGAGCUUGCGGCUUAAUUUGACUCAACACGGGGAAACUCACUAGUUUAAGACAAGAGUAGGAUUGACAGAUUAAUAGCUCUUUCUUGAUUUCUUGGAUGGUGAUGCAUGGCCGUUUUUAGUUCGUGAAUAUGAUUUGUCUGGUUAAUUCCGAUAACGAACGAGAUCUUAACCUGCUAAUUAGCGGCGAGUACACUAUAUUCUUAUUUGAAAUUGAACAUAGGUAACUAUACAUUUUUAUUCAGUAAUCAAAUUAGGAUAUUUUUUUUAUUAAAAUAUCCUUUUCCCUGUUCUACUUAAUAAUUUGUUUUUUUUUACUCUAUUUCUCUCUUCUUUUAAGAAUGUACUUGCUUGAUUGAAAAGCUUCUUAGAGGAACAUUGUGUGUCUAACACAAGGAAGUUUAAGGCAACAACAGGUCUGUGAUGUCCUUAGAUGAACUAGGCUGCACGCGUGCUACACUGAUAUAUAUAACGAGUUUUUAAAAAUAUGCUUAUAUUUGUAUCUUUGAUGCUUAUAUUUUGCAUACUUUUCCUCCGCCGAAAGGCGUAGGUAAUCUUUAUCAAUAUAUAUCGUGAUGGGGAUAGAUUAUUGCAAUUAUUAAUCUUGAACGAGGAAUGCCUAGUAAGCAUGAUUCAUCAGAUUGUGCUGACUACGUCCCUGCCCUUUGUACACACCGCCCGUCGCUCCUACCGAUUGAAAGAUAUGAUGAAUUGUUUGGAUAUGAAAAAUUGAAUUAUAUUUCUUUUUUUUUCUGGAAAAACCGUAAAUCCUAUCUUUUAAAGGAAGGAGAAGUCGUAACAAGGUUUCCGUAGGUGAACCUGCGGAAG